CCUAGCCAGGAUCUCUAGCCAGGAUCUCUAGCCAAGUUCUUCAGCCAGGUUCUGGUCAGGCUCUCCAACCAAGUUCUGGUGCCAGGUUCUGUCCAGGAUCUUUUGCCAUGUUCUCUUGCUAGCAAAGUUCAUCA
Myotis brandtii (Brandt's bat) is the source of this 134-nucleotide long non-coding RNA. RefSeq lists it as uncharacterized. Lineage: Eukaryota; Metazoa; Chordata; Mammalia; Chiroptera; Vespertilionidae. The transcript has 3 exons. The record is from RefSeq and is a predicted model, not a curated record.